GCUUGUCUCAAAGAUUAAGCCAUGCAUGUCUAAGUGUAAAUACGUCUACACUGUGAAACUGCGAAUGGCUCAUUAAAUCAGUUAUCGUUUAUUUGAUGAUCUCUUGUUACAUGGAUAACCGUAGUAAUUCUAGAGCUAAUACAUGCGUCAAGCCCCGACUCACGAAGGGGUGUAUUUAUUAGAUGGAAACCAAUUCGGGGUAACCCGGUUUAUGGUGAUUCAUAAUAACUUUCGGAUCGACGCAAGUCGAUGCAUCAUUCAAGUUUCUGCCCUAUCAGUUGUGGAUGGUAGGGUAUUGGCCUACCAUGACUUUAACGGGUAACGGAGAAUUAGGGUUCGAUUCCGGAGAGGGAGCCUGAGAAAUGGCUACCACAUCCAAGGAAGGCAGCAGG
This 392-nucleotide ribosomal RNA is filed under the name uncultured Synurales. Its description in RNAcentral is "partial small subunit ribosomal RNA". It matches the Rfam family "Eukaryotic small subunit ribosomal RNA", at positions 30 to 432 of the family's 1831-position model. Lineage: Eukaryota; Synurophyceae; Synurales. The record is from RNAcentral.